GGAUGCCCUCCGUCGUCACCCCUUAUAACCUGUUACCCGCGUUCGGACUAGGUCGGUACGGCGCACUCACUACUUCCGGAAUCCCAACAUUUCGAGAAAGCGGCCCCUGCUAUUACUGCCAUG
Molecule: ribosomal RNA, 123 nt
Filed under: uncultured bacterium
Lineage: Bacteria
Description: partial 16S ribosomal RNA
Source: RNAcentral